This 492-nucleotide ribosomal RNA is filed under the name uncultured bacterium. RNAcentral's name for it is "partial 16S ribosomal RNA". It matches the Rfam family "Bacterial small subunit ribosomal RNA", at positions 30 to 507 of the family's 1533-position model. The record is from RNAcentral.
AUUGAACGCUGGCGGUAGGCCUAACACAUGCAAGUCGAACGGCAGCACAGUAAUAGCUUGCUCUUACGGCGGGCGAGUGGCGGACGGGGGCGGAAUACCUCGCUGUCUGCUUUGUAUUGCGUGAUAACGUGGGGGAACUUACGCUAAUACCGCUUACGACCUACGUGUGGAAUCAGGGGACCUUCGGACCUCAGGCGAUCGUAUGACCGGAUGUCGGAUUAGCUAGUUGGCGGGGUAAAGGCCCACCAAGGCGACGAUCCGUAGCUGGUCUGAGAGGAUGAUCAGCCACACUGGAACUGAGACACGGUCCAGACUCCUACGGGAGGCAGCAGUGGGGAAUAUUGGACAAUGGGCGCAAGCCUGAUCCAGCCAUACCGCGUGGGUGAAGAAGGCCUUCGGGUUGUAAAGCCCUUUUGUUGGGAAAGAAAAGCAGCAGGUUAAUACCCCGCUGUUCUGACGGUACCCAAAGAAUAAGCACCGGCUAACUUCGUG